GCUCAAAGAUGGACUCGCGUCCGAUUAGUUAGUUGGUGAGGUAACGGCUCACCAAGACCGCGAUCGGUAGCCGGACUGAGAGGUUGAACGGCCACAUUGGGACUGGGACACGGCCCAGACUCCUACGGGAGGCAGCAGUGGGGGAUAUUGCGCAAUGGGGGCAACCCUGACGCAGCAACGCCGCGUGAAGGAUGAAGGUUUUCGGAUUGUAAACUUCUUUUAUUAAGGACGAAAAAUGACGGUACUUAAUGAAUAAGCUCCGGCUAACUACGUGCCAGCAGCCGCGGUAAUACGUAGGGAGCAAGCGUUGUCCGGAUUUACUGGGUGUAAAGGGUGCGUAGGCGGCUUUGCAAGUCGGAUGUGAAAUCUAUGGGCUCAACCCAUAAACUGCAUUUGAAACUGUAGAGCUUGAGUGAAGUAGAGGCAGGCGGAAUUCCCCGUGUAGCGGUGAAAUGCGUAGAGAUGGGGAGGAACACCAGUGGCGAAGGCGGCCUGCUGGGCUUUAACUGACGCUGAGGCACGAAAGCGUGGGUAGCAAACAGGAUUAGAUACCCUGGUAGUCCACGCUGUAAACGAUGAUUACUAGGUGUGGGGGGUCUGACCCCUUCCGUGCCGGAGUUAACACAAUAAGUAAUCCACCUGGGGAGUACGGCCGCAAGGUUGCAACUCAAAGGAAUUGACGGA
RNAcentral lists this ribosomal RNA (684 nucleotides) under uncultured Bacillota bacterium. RNAcentral describes it as "bacterial SSU rRNA". It matches the Rfam family "Bacterial small subunit ribosomal RNA", at positions 217 to 917 of the family's 1533-position model. Lineage: Bacteria; Bacillati; Bacillota. The record is from RNAcentral.